UACGUAGGGUGCGAGCGUUGUCCGGAAUUAUUGGGCGUAAAGGGCUCGUAGGCGGUUUGUCGCGUCGGGUGUGAAAACAUCGGGCUUAACUCGAUGCUUGCUUUCGAUACGGGCAGACUUGAGGUAUGCAGGGGAGAAUGGAAUUCCUGGUGUAGCGGUGAAAUGCGCAGAUAUCGGGAGGAACACCAAUGGCGAAGGCAGCUCGCUGGGACGUUACUGACGCUGAGACGCGAAAGCGUGGGGAGCAAACAGG
This 253-nucleotide ribosomal RNA is filed under the name uncultured bacterium. RNAcentral's name for it is "partial 16S ribosomal RNA". It matches the Rfam family "Bacterial small subunit ribosomal RNA", at positions 524 to 776 of the family's 1533-position model. The record is from RNAcentral.